RNAcentral lists this ribosomal RNA (253 nucleotides) under uncultured bacterium. Its description in RNAcentral is "partial 16S ribosomal RNA". It matches the Rfam family "Bacterial small subunit ribosomal RNA", at positions 524 to 776 of the family's 1533-position model. The record is from RNAcentral.
UACAUAGGUCCCAAGCGUUAUCCGGAAUUACUGGGCGUAAAGCGUCUGCAGGUUGAAAAGUGUGUGAGAUGUGAAAGACCGGGGCUCAACCCCGUGUUUGUAUCUCAAACUGCUUUUCUAGAGUGAGCAAGAGGUAUGCGGAAUUUAUGGAGUAGGAGUGCAAUCCGUUGACACCAUAAAGAACACCAAAAGCGAAGGCAGCAUACUGGGGCUCUACUGACACUCAGAGACGAAAGCGUGGGGAGCGAAAGGG